Molecule: long non-coding RNA, 495 nt
Organism: Folsomia candida
Lineage: Eukaryota; Metazoa; Arthropoda; Collembola; Entomobryomorpha; Isotomidae
Exons: 3
Source: RefSeq, a predicted model, not a curated record
GUACCGCACCUUCUUGGAGACGCUGGUCUGGGUCCUGCAUAUCAAACUCGUGCCCAUCCUCUACCGCUGGGUUUCCCUCUACCCGGACGAAACGUGGGAUGCAUUCUUGAAAUACUGGAUAUUCGCCUUCCUAGCGAUCUCCGUUGCAACAGGUGUGGGCGUCUUCUCCGACCGGGAUUUGUCGCAUGUGUCCUCCCACGAUUUGCUGGUUCCCGCCUGGUUCACCGCUGUGUUCUGGAGCUGGCUGUAUCUCGCCUACCUAGCGGGGAGCAAAAUAUUCAAAAUCUUGUGGCGCCAAGAGGACCCCGCUGAAGUGAAGGAAUUGAAGAAUUUGAUCUGCUGCGUGGCAUCCUUCGUGGUCAUCAAGAUCAUCAUCGUGGACCUUUGGAAAUUGUCUCUAAAAAUCCGAGCCAGCAAAUCAACCAGGUGGUUUUAGGAGGAAUUCAUACUAUUUAACUGAUCAUUUAAUUUAAUACUUUUUAAAACAUUUAUUAU